Molecule: ribosomal RNA, 397 nt
Filed under: uncultured bacterium
Lineage: Bacteria
Description: partial 16S ribosomal RNA
Rfam family: Bacterial small subunit ribosomal RNA
Source: RNAcentral
AUACGUAGGGGGCGAGCGUUGUCCGGAAUGAUUGGGCGUAAAGGGCGCAUAGGCGGCCCGGUAAGUCUGGAGUGAAAGUCCUGUUUUUAAGAUGGGAAUUGCUUUGGAUACUGUCGGGCUUGAGUGCAGGAGAGGUAAGUGGAAUUCCCAGUGUAGCGGUGAAAUGCGUAGAGAUUGGGAGGAACACCAGUGGCGAAGGCGACUUACUGGACUGUAACUGACGCUGAGGCGCGAAAGUGUGGGGAGCAAACAGGAUUAGAUACCCUGGUAGUCCACACUGUAAACGAUGAAUGCUAGGUGUAGGGGGUAUCGACCCCUUCUGUGCCGCAGUCAACACAAUAAGCAUUCCGCCUGGGGAGUACGGCCGCAAGGUUGAAACUCAAAUGAAUUGGCGGGG